Molecule: long non-coding RNA, 208 nt
Filed under: Elaeis guineensis (African oil palm)
Lineage: Eukaryota; Viridiplantae; Streptophyta; Magnoliopsida; Arecales; Arecaceae
Description: long non-coding RNA (EGUI_LNC060071)
Source: RNAcentral
UGGGCGGUGAGCGUGGAACCAGAAGAACUCGUGAAGGAGUUCUUCUCUCAAUCCAAUUCAAAUACCAUCUAAAAACCUGGUUGAAAUCAAAUUGAGACUCUCCCUUUAGAGAUCUAUUUAAGAACCUCAACCCCUUGAUUCAUCAUCACCAAAAAAUCACCAAAGAUCGCUAUUCUUUUUCCCAGAUUUUGCCUUGUUCAUCGGUGGA